GUGGAUGUAGUUUAAUGGUGAGAACCUCAGUCUUCCAAACUGAUGGUGCGGGUUCAAAUCCCGCCAUCCGCUCCA
This 75-nucleotide transfer RNA is filed under the name Caudoviricetes sp. RNAcentral describes it as "tRNA-Gly". It matches the Rfam family "tRNA". From Rfam's summary of the family: Transfer RNA (tRNA) molecules are approximately 80 nucleotides in length. The record is from RNAcentral. Lineage: Duplodnaviria; Heunggongvirae; Uroviricota; Caudoviricetes.